UUGGAUGGGCCGGGCGGUACAAACUUGUUUUUUUAAAAGUUUGACCUCAUACACGUAAGAAUACCCGCUGAACUUAAGCAUAUCAAUAAAGCGGAGGAA
RNAcentral lists this ribosomal RNA (99 nucleotides) under Blastobotrys ciferrii. RNAcentral describes it as "Trichomonascus ciferrii partial 28S ribosomal RNA". The record is from RNAcentral. Lineage: Eukaryota; Fungi; Ascomycota; Dipodascomycetes; Dipodascales; Trichomonascaceae.